AACGAACGCUGGCGGCAUGCCUAACACAUGCAAGUCGAACGAGACCUUCGGGUCUAGUGGCGCACGGGUGCGUAACGCGUGGGAACCUGCCCUUAGGUUCGGAAUAACUCCCCGAAAGGGGUGCUAAUACCGGAUAAUGUCUUCGGACCAAAGAUUUAUCGCCUUUGGAUGGGCCCGCGUUGGAUUAGCUAGUUGGUAGGGUAAAAGCCUACCAAGGCGACGAUCCAUAGCUGGUCAGAGAGGAUGAUCAGCCACACUGGGACUGAGACACGGCCCAGACUCCUACGGGAAGCAGCAGUGGGGAAUAUUGGACAAUGGGCGAAAGCCUGAUCCAGCAAUGCCGCGUGAGUGAUGAAGGCCUUAGGGUUGUAAAGCUCUUUUACCCGGGAUGAUAAUGACAGUACCGGGAGAAUAAGCUCCGGCUAACUCCGUG
This 433-nucleotide ribosomal RNA is filed under the name uncultured bacterium. RNAcentral's name for it is "partial 16S ribosomal RNA". It matches the Rfam family "Bacterial small subunit ribosomal RNA", at positions 29 to 507 of the family's 1533-position model. The record is from RNAcentral.